GGGGUGAUGGCGGAACAGGCAGACGCAUCGGUCUUAAAAACCGAAGGACUAACCGUCCGUGUGGGUUCGAGUCCCACUCGCCCCA
Molecule: transfer RNA, 85 nt
Filed under: Anaerolineae bacterium
Lineage: Bacteria; Bacillati; Chloroflexota; Anaerolineae
Also listed under: 1 other name
Description: tRNA-Leu
Rfam family: tRNA
About the family: Transfer RNA (tRNA) molecules are approximately 80 nucleotides in length. Their secondary structure includes four short double-helical elements and three loops (D, anti-codon, and T loops). Further hydrogen bonds mediate the characteristic L-shaped molecular structure. tRNAs have two regions of fundamental functional importance: the anti-codon, which is responsible for specific mRNA codon recognition, and the 3' end, to which the tRNAs corresponding amino acid is attached (by aminoacyl-tRNA synthetases). tRNAs cope with the degeneracy of the genetic code in two manners: having more than one tRNA (with a specific anti-codon) for a particular amino acid; and 'wobble' base-pairing, i.e. permitting non-standard base-pairing at the 3rd anti-codon position.
Source: RNAcentral